CUAGCGACCCCCUUUUUUUCCAGACAGAGGGUUGUGAACCAGCCUGGGGUGAGGCUCUGGUCUUGUGGAAACUGAACUUAGCUAUGCUGGGCUGACACCUUGGGCCCAGGCUGGUAUGUAAU
Non-coding RNA from Otolemur garnettii (small-eared galago), 122 nucleotides. Lineage: Eukaryota; Metazoa; Chordata; Mammalia; Primates; Galagidae. The record is from Rfam.